Molecule: long non-coding RNA, 1516 nt
Filed under: Arachis ipaensis
Lineage: Eukaryota; Viridiplantae; Streptophyta; Magnoliopsida; Fabales; Fabaceae
Description: long non-coding RNA (AIPA_LNC001900)
Source: RNAcentral
GCGAAUUUCGGUGAUAGAGAAGAAGAGAACGACGGCGAUGACGACGAGGAUCAAGAAAAUGUACCUCUUCCGGAGCUGGAAUCGCCGAGAGCUCGAGCUGAUAUCUUCGACGUGGAAAGCGGCGGCGCCGGCGGUGGUGGAGGUGGAGGGAAGAGUGGGAGGCUUUCUAACGUUUUGGUCGAUGAGGUUGUGGCGGUCGUCUUCGUCGUCGGAAGACGAAUCCAUGUGGUUUAGUUUGUUAGCCACAGCGGCAGUGUGAUGAAGAAGCGAGUGAAGGAGUCAGUGAGUGAGUAGCAGUAGCAGAAAUGGUAGAGCCAAAGAGGUUGCAGUUGCAGAAGAUCCAGCCAUGUGAGUGAGCCAGAGAGCGAGUGAGUGAAUCGUUGGUGAGUCACUGAGUCGAUUUGUCGGUGAAAGUGACUCGGUUUAGUGAGUAAGUGGCGGUUAGCGAGAAGAGGAGGGACACGGAUUAGGUGCGCAACCUAUGUUUUGUCACCGAAGCGCCCAAAACAAUUUUGACGCACCACUGCACCAGUGCGCUCAAAAAGAAUUGUAUAUUUGUAUGUAAUAUACUUUAUUUUUUGGGUAUUCGGUUAUUUAUAACAAUAUCUAUAAUCUAUAAUAUCUAUAUCUAUAAUUCUAUAAUAAUAUAUAAUGCCAGCAAGCAAGAAUUUACCAUCUUUAGGGUUCCAAUCAAUGGUUUUUCUCUGUGAGAAGUUCUGAUCCACUGUUCUACACCUAUUGUAACUAACUCCACCGAACAAAUUAGGAUUUCUAAAAUCGAAAUCAGGCUCAUUUGUGUUACCUGUUCGAUGCGGAUUCAGCAGAACCUGCUGAAUCUCUCGGUUAAGAGAGAUCUGUUUGAACAGCGCCGAUUUCAGAUCCUCCAAUUGAUUUGGAUCGGAAUAUGACGCAUUGUGCUGAAAAGUUCGAUUCCAAGCGGUUAAGAGCCCUAGUUGCUGCUCCCGCAAGAGGUUAAUGGCGCGCAAUUCAGAUUCCUUCAUUUGACCGGAGAGAUAAUCGGAGGAGAAGCUGGCGAUAGGGCCAUGGCGAAUUUCGGUGAUAGAGAAGAAGAGAACGACGGCGAUGACGACGAGGAUCAAGAAAAUGUACCUCUUCCGGAGCUGGAAUCGCCGAGAGCUCGAGCUGAUAUCUUCGACGUGGAAAGCGGCGGCGCCGGCGGUGGUGGAGGUGGAGGGAAGAGUGGGAGGCUUUCUAACGUUUUGGUCGAUGAGGUUGUGGCGGUCGUCUUCGUCGUCGGAAGACGAAUCCAUGUGGUUUAGUUUGUUAGCCACAGCGGCAGUGUGAUGAAGAAGCGAGUGAAGGAGUCAGUGAGUGAGUAGCAGUAGCAGAAAUGGUAGAGCCAAAGAGGUUGCAGUUGCAGAAGAUCCAGCCAUGUGAGUGAGCCAGAGAGCGAGUGAGUGAAUCGUUGGUGAGUCACUGAGUCGAUUUGUCGGUGAAAGUGACUCGGUUUAGUGAGUAAGUGGCGGUUAGCGAGAAGAGGAGGGACACGGAUUAG